UUCACUGAGAAGGAUCAGGAACUGAAUUCAAUUUGUUUGAUACUGCCCAAAAUCACAAAUCACCACUUUGCUUCAGAGGGUUUUACAACCUGUACACAUACGACAUCCCUGACCUUUGACCUUGAAAAACUGAAGAAAACUGAUGAAAAAAGGGAAGAAUCCUUCAGGAGAGCAACAGAGGAGGAUCCGUCUCCAGGAUGGACGGAUCAAGAACAUGUCCUAAAGACAUCAAACAUGGAUCACAUGAAACUUCCUGAUGGUAAACUCAAGUUAUUUUACUCAGAGAUCAAUUAUCUGGGGAUCUAUUGUACUUCUGGUCACAUGACAUCUAUUGUACUUCUGUCAGUGGCGGGCCGUCCGGGCCUUCUAAGCCUUCUCUGAAGCCGAUCUGAGCUAUUUUAUAAUAAAUACAUUUAAAAAUGUAAAAAAUCAUGGGGACCUUAUUGUUGAUUGACAUGAUCUUCAACCAAUCAUAUCGCUAGUUUGACAUACUGGGUGUAUUUCUUGAGGUCUUUGGCCUUCUGGAAGCUCAUGAGCUGUACUCAUUGUGUUCAAGUUAUUCAGGUGCUCUGCAACAUCCACCACGAAUGCAAGCACAGCAGCUCGGCCUCACCAUCGUACCUCGGUGUGGGACGGCAGCCCAUAGCUGUGGUCUUUCUCUCUGAGAAGGAAGUCAACCUGGCGGUGAUUCAGGCCUCUGGAUCGGAUGACAUCAACAGUCUGGACGACCACCUUCAUGACGUUUUCCAUCGUUAAUGACUUGCAACACAAAGCCUCCUGAUGCAAAGUGCAGGGAGAAGUCCCAAAAUCACAUCCUCCAUUUGCAGUCUGCACUUCUUUUCUGAACUGUGUCACAACUCCUGCUUUUCCCCGAUCAUUGAGGGCGCACCAUCUGUCGCCAUGGUGACAGCGCGGGGCCAGUCCACUCCGACCCGGUCCAGGGCGCCGACGAGAGCGGUGAAAAUAUCAGCUGCUGUUCCUAGAAAUGUAGAGGAAUAUAUCAUGUAUUUGCUACACCUCAAAUACAAUGUUGAGUCAUUAAAUACAUAAAUAUUG
This is a long non-coding RNA of Pseudoliparis swirei, 1056 nucleotides long. RefSeq lists it as uncharacterized. NCBI's taxonomy places the organism in Eukaryota, Metazoa, Chordata, Actinopteri, Perciformes, Liparidae. The transcript is spliced from 2 exons. The record is from RefSeq and is a predicted model, not a curated record.